RNAcentral lists this long non-coding RNA (695 nucleotides) under Anas platyrhynchos platyrhynchos (common mallard). Its description in RNAcentral is "lncRNA (ENSAPLG00000028628.1)". Lineage: Eukaryota; Metazoa; Chordata; Aves; Anseriformes; Anatidae. The record is from RNAcentral.
AUGCUAUCACCAAAGAAGUGUUUUCCAUUCCUCAUACUGGUACUUUCUCUCCUUCAAAGAAGAAAGAUUAAUAUACGAAACUGUGAAAAUCAGUACUACGUCCCCAUGCAAAUUCCUUUGGAAUUAGGACUUGGACACGCAAUUUCACAAACUGGCAACUUGAAUCUGAUGAAGCUACCUGAAGUUUCUUCUCCUGGCCUCCUGGAAUUUUGUUGGCAUGGAGAAAUAGCAAAUGAGAUAGGGAGGAAUGAUAGGAAUCAACUGCACCAAUUUUAUCUUUCAAGAAAGAAGAAAAAGGGAAGAGAUGCAGAUAGAACAUACUACACUCUGACACUCUGUUGUCACAAUGAAUUCUCAACUUUUCCUGUAGGGUGUUGUAAGCACUUUUACCCGAAUGCCAUGCUAUUUUACAUGGAGGGGACUGCCAUCAGUUACCACAGCAGUGUAUUACAGCCAAAUGGGUCUGACAAUAUAAAGGAGAUUUGCAUUAAUAUUUCAUCUGAUGUCUUAAUCGGCUGUUGAUAAAUAUAAAUAUUUGACCCUGGAAGUCUUCGGUUGCAUCAUGUCAAAAUCUUCCUGUUUCUAGGAUUUUGUUGUUCAGCUUCAUGGGAUUUUUAGUUAAUGAUCUCAGUGUGGAAAUUCUUCUUCUGCAGCAUGUAUGAAAUAAAUGAUAUUGUUCUCAUUUGGACUCUGCA